ACCAGAAACAGUAAUUUACUGGAGAGCAUUAAUCAGUAUUUUUUAAAUGGGAUUUACACUUAAAUGCUGAGUCAAGUAACAGCCUAUCAGUACAGACAGUAGAAGUAAAAGCAACUAGUUUGGGGAACAUCAAAAAUAGUGAUGCCUACUUCUUGGUAUAUCUCAUGCAGUUCAAAGAAUCAGCCUCCAGACAUUUGCAUUUAUCAGCCAAAUUUCAUUAAUCGCUUGUGGAGAAACAGAUCAGAUGUUUUUGGAAGAGGAGAGAAGAGAAGGUGAAGAGUGUCUCACUUAUCCAAACAUAAACAACUGCAUUGUCUAUGUUGGUGUUCCACUUUUAACUAGUUGAAUCUGCAGUAAAGUAAGGUGUAGUUGAGAUAUUUAUUCUUAAUGAGGAAAUGUCUCUUUUAUUUAUUUUUUAAUUUAUUUGUUCUAACAGUGCUUCUAUGGCAUUGAAUACCUGUUAUUAUAAUUGUGUAUUCUUAUAUAAUCUUAGAACAAUUUCUAAAUAGUUGGUGCUACUGAUAAAUAGAAGGCAGCCAUUUGUUUGAGAGGCAUUCAGAAGGAUGUAAUUAUCCAGAAUAUCCAGACACAAAGAACUUCACCUAGGUGAAGCAGGUUCAGGCAUAGCUAAAGCUGAAGUAAAGUUUGGUUUUAAAUUGCAAAGGUAAAAUGUAGGUCAAAAGCUUGUUCCCGUUGCUCUCAGCUGAUUUAAUCAACCUCACUGAGGAGUAACUCAAAUAGCAUUUGGCCUUUGGAUCAGUGGUGUGGCCUAGUAGUCUGGGAUUUGUUACUGCAUUGCUUGGAUUCUGGAGGUCUUAGUGCAGGUUUUGCCAGGUCUGAUUCAGGUAAAUUGAUCCCUGUGAGGAUCAAUAAUCAAAGCUGAGAAUGCAGCAAACUUCUCAGAGCAAGAUUUUUCAUCUGGUGAUUAGAUUUUGCAUAAACUGUUAAGAUAUUUAGAAUUUAAGUGAUUCCUUUUGUCAUGUUCCUAUGCACCAACACAGUAAAGUGUGGAUUUGUUUCCUACAGCAUGAGAUGCCCAGAAUAAAAGAGAAAAAAUUUAUCUGUAUACCUGUAACAGAUAUAAUGUAUAUUCUUGGAAGACCAUGAGAAAUAAGCCUUGAAAGGUAUUUAAAUUGGAAGUCAUACCUUCCAGGAGAGCUCAAAUAGUACUACACUACAGAUAAAGACUACAACAAACCAGGAUCAGUAUUACUUCAAUUAUCUUAGAUAAAAAUUCCUCAUUAGAGUGGCAACAAGAGAAUGAGGCUUAGUCAGCCAUUCCCAGCAUAUGCCAUCAUACAUGCCACUGAAAUUAGCAGGAAAAAUAAGAAGGAGAAGGUUCUUUGCUGCCAAUGUGCUGCCUGCUCUUUUCAACCUAUCUGAAUUGUUUAGCAAAAGCAGGAAAGAAUAAAAAAGCCUACAAUUGCAUUUGGUAAAACCACUGGAGCAAAAGUAGUGAUAUUUAAAGAUUCUAUUUCUGCUAUUCUGAAUAGCAGAAAUUUCUAGUCAGAAGCUUCUGAGUUUUGUUGUUUUUUUUUAAAAAAACCUCUAUUUGCCAUAAAUUAGAAUUCUUAAGCUUGAAGACUAGAUGAAUAGAAAUAGAAUGGAUUUAAUACAUUUUCCUGAUGGAUAGAUUUCCUGUGGGUGACUUGGCAGCUUUCCAAAAUCAACCUGGAAAAUUCUUAUGAAAUCAGUCAUCACCAAUAGCUGCUUACCCCAGAUGCCAUGUCUGAACUAGUCUUGUUAGUUCGCACUGUCUAAUAAAAUAUUUUUGUGAAUUUUCCACAUUAUGCACAAAUUUUCCAAAGAGCAGCAGGAUAUACUGUGCCUAAAUUCCUGGAGAUUUGUUUCCUUUAUCUCCCUAAACUCUCUCCCUCUGCUUGAGUAGCUUCUCAUCUUCCACUGAGAAUUGUGGUCAUCCCUGUGGAUUCAGAUGGUGUGUACUGUCUGGUUAGUGCAUAGCUGAAUGGCUGCCAUGCUCUGGCCAGCACAUACUUGCUGAUUAGUCAUCCUGUCGGCAAAUUAAAGAACUGAGUCCUCUCUAGUGAACUCUGUAUCUUCAGUUAUAAAUAAAUAACACUCAAGUGUAUUUAACAUAUGAGAUUCUGUGGCCUUGAGAGGCUUUUACAUAGUCUGUCAUUCCAGAAAAAAGAACGGAGAGACUUCACUUAGCUAUAUUUAGAAGAAUUUAAAUACUGAAAGCACAUGCAAAAAAAAGGUAAACAAUAGCUAGUGUUGUUUUUUUAUUUGGUUUGGUUUUUUUUUCUAUUGUUUUUUAAAAUAACUGUAAUUGAUAGAGCUUACCCAGUAGGAAGAUUUUUCAGUCCAGGCCUCUUGCUUAGGGAUCCCCCCAGCUAGUGUCGACAAGGCAGCAGAUAAGAUGAUAGUGUUCACUUCAGAAUUACACAUUUCAGUAAACUAGAACUGAUCAAAUGCUAGAACUCUGUCAUGUUCUUUCUUUACAAGUAAUUCUGAGGGGAAUAACCUGUAGCAUGAGACCUCACACCUGAGAGUUAUUCCCAGCCUCUGGAAACUACUUCUGCCUAGGGUAAGCACACCCACAUGCCCAAAACCCACAAGAAAUGGGAGUUCUUAGUCUAGAGACAAAGUCUUAGUUACCAGUUAGUGCUAACAUUUUUAAACCCUCACCUGGUCCUUCAUUUUACAAGGUGAAAGAGUAAAGUUUAAGGUUGCUGUUUUCAUCAAGGAAACUAUUUCUAUUUCUCUCUAAGUCUAUUUCACUUUUCAGUGAAGAAAUGUAACUUAAUCAUAGAAUCUUGGCACACUCAAGAUCCUGCAUUCAUUAGGCAAGUGACUCUUAGUAAUAAAAUGUUCUGUGUUUUAUUUAUUAAUCUUUGGAGCUUGAUGAUGUGAGUAGGAUGUGGACAGAUCUGAGAGGAGUUGGUCUAAAAUUCACUGUAUUUCUUAACUCUCUUGAGAUAAUGAAAUUUCUUCAUGAAAUUUCUUCAUAUUUUUAUCUGGUUUACUGCAUACUGUAAAUAAUGUAUUUGAAUACUUCUUUUUUAUUUUUUUUUUUUAAUUGUGUAUUUUUAAAGCAUUCUGCAGUAAGCAUUUUCUGCCAGCUGUAAUGCCUCCAUUAGAUCUGCUUCAGUUUUCCAAAGGUAUGUCUUUCCCUCCUA
This 3140-nucleotide long non-coding RNA is filed under the name Taeniopygia guttata (zebra finch). RNAcentral's name for it is "lncRNA (ENSTGUG00000025221.1)". Lineage: Eukaryota; Metazoa; Chordata; Aves; Passeriformes; Estrildidae. The record is from RNAcentral.